GCUCCUGCGGACGAGGAGCGCGCGGAGGAAGUGAAACGGAAAAUGUGAGCCGCCCUCGCCCAAACCGCAAGCUUCCUGCCCUCUCCGACGGCCCACGCAGGAAAGAAGGGAGAAGGCGCUGAGGUUCAAAGGGCACCGGGUGGGGCCUGCACAGAACCCCCACCCCCCCGCGCCCCUGCGCGCCCCGCCAGUUAAGUGGAGGGGCGAGGCAGGGACAGCAUGACAGGAGCACGAAGGUGCGAAGGUGCGGGUCUCCGGAAUAGAGGGUGAUGGUGCCUGUGAACUUGGGCUUGGAGUUUUUAAAGAGAGAGGAAGUGGCAAGUAAAGACGCUAACCCCGGAGUGGAGGGCGAGAUCCCUUGCGUGGAAGGAGACUCAGUGUCCCCUACUACCUGCUCCAACCAGUCUAAGGCCUGAGAAAUACUUGCUCAAAGUCAUGUUGGCAAGGAAAGGGCUGACCUUG
Ochotona curzoniae (black-lipped pika) is the source of this 462-nucleotide long non-coding RNA. RefSeq lists it as uncharacterized. The record is from RefSeq and is a predicted model, not a curated record. The transcript is spliced from 3 exons. NCBI's taxonomy places the organism in Eukaryota, Metazoa, Chordata, Mammalia, Lagomorpha, Ochotonidae.